RNAcentral lists this unclassified non-coding RNA (2386 nucleotides) under Hevea brasiliensis (rubber tree). Lineage: Eukaryota; Viridiplantae; Streptophyta; Magnoliopsida; Malpighiales; Euphorbiaceae. The record is from RNAcentral.
GGAAAGUAGAAGGAUUGGGAAAGUAGGAAAGAUGAAAGAAAGAAGAAGAAGAAGUAGGGAAGAAGGAGAGGAGGAGUUGGCUGGAAAUUUGGGUUCUUCAAUAAGGAAGGAUGCCGACAGUGAGAGGAGAGGGAGAGCGGUCUAAAAUACAAGAAAUUAGAGAGAAAAAUGAAGAGAAAUAGAGAGAGAGAGAAAGAAGAGAGAGAAAAUAGCUUUGGAAGUUUAGUUUGAGCAAAUUGUUGAGUGUUAUGGUGCACAAAUGGUAUCAAUGGAAUUAGGAGUAGGAGAGCAACAUUUUGGUGUGUUCAGAUUCGACGAUCAUUGUCGGAGAGUGGCGACCGGGGAUCGUGCAUGGUAGUUCUAGCGGUGGCUUCAGUGACCUUUGGCCAUGAUUUAAGUUGUUGAAGUUUUCUCAUAAAUUUUUGGAAUUUUUGGGACACAGAUAAAUUUGGGAAGAGCUUUUGGAUUAUGGUUAAUAUGGAUGGAAAAGUGACAUAUACAUACUAGUUGGAAUCUUGCAGUACAGCUGACUCUGUGUUGAUCUAUUACCGGAACCCAAGCAAGAAAGGAACUCCAGUGCUUCUAAUCCAUUGAUCGGCACCGGGAAGAAAUGUUCCAACAGUGAAUUGUUGAGCUUCAUUACUGGUAAGGAAAUGAAGUGUCGUCCACUUGAUCCUAUUAGCAGUGUUGGCACCAGGUCCAGUAUUGGCAUACUCAGCAUAAUACAAUGUGUCAAGGUAUAGGUCUCCAGCCCAUGGCAGCCAUCCAUCAGGCUGAAUCAAAUCACCCAAUUCUGACUCCAUAACUACAGUCGUUGAGAAUUGUUUCCAGGGCCUGCCCAAGUAUGUCUUGACGGUGAGCCUCUCAGGUACAAGAUCGGCCUCAGGGACAAUCUUACAGUUGUGGAUAACAAGUCCAGUGUUUUGUCCCUUUUCUUUCUUGCCAUCUGCUGUCACUGUAUUGACUUGGCCGUGGUUAGGUUUCCUGACAAUGAUCGUUGAGUUUUGGAUCACAGCUGCACCAUAACCAAAGAGGAAAUCAACGGUGCCGGAAAUGACACAGUCGCGGUAGAAUUGGCGUCCGGCUUGGUACAACAAUGUGUCUUGAUACCCAUCAAACCUACAGUUGUGGAACACUGACAUAUCAGAGUUAACUCUAAUGGCAACAGCCUGGUGACCAUUAGGCCCUGCUGUGUUCUCAAAUCCCAUAUUCUUGCAAGUGAACCCUGGUGCUUCAACCACUGUAAAUGGCAAAGCAAAGAAAAGUCCUUUAUUAUAUUGCUGUAAGGUUAUGAGUUUGAACUUAGUUAAAGCCCAAUUAAUCGAUAAAGAAAAAAAAAAUUACUUUCCAUUGUCGAACUUACCAAAGGAAGCAGUGUUCCAGGUGUUUAUACCACUGGUGAAGCUCUUUUUUCCUGUGACAAUGGUCUUCUCUGGUCCAUCACCAUACAUGAGAAUAUUAGAAUGAGUUUUUGGCACCAUUACGGCCUCGUUAUAAAUUCCUGCCUUCACAUAAAUAAUAUAUCGACCAGUGUUGCUCAUUGGGUAUGAGUUUAUAGCUGCAUUAAUUGACUUGAAUUGCCCACUGCCAUCUAGAGCAACCACUGCAUUUGGUGCAAGGUCAGCGUUGCCAACGGCCAAGAGCUUUCGAUUAGCAGCAGAUAACCAGGUUGGGUACCCAUCAUCCCCAAGAAGUCGACGAGAAUGGAUGGUGGGAAGGUUUAACUGGAGAUUGAAGUCUUGGAGGAUGUUUGAAAUCGCACCAAGAAUGGUUAGGACAUUAUCUGUUAGUUCACCGCCAUAAUCCGUACUUCGUUGAACUGUAGAUUUAAUGUUGUUGUCAUGCUGAAAUCCGUCAACGCACAAUUCCUGGUAGGAGAUGAUAGAACUCAACCAGAUACGAAAGUCAUCAGCAUGUUCAGCUAUGCUUUUCAGGUUGCUGUCAGACAUCUUGUCAAGAGUAUCCUGGAGCUCAUCAGAGGCAUUUUUAAGCAAUAUCUUGCAAUCCUCCAAGGCAAGUUUCGUACGGGGCUCACUACCAGCAUUUCCUACAAGACCCUGACUCAAGUUCAUGGAUUUCGUCAAGGAAUCUGAGAUGGCUAAAAUGCCUGUCCGGAUCAGCUCCUUAGGAUCGGCGCUAUUGGCAGAACUGAGAACCUUGGUGCAAGUCUCCUUGUAAUUAGUGGGCUGGCAUAAUUGGGUAACAGCCUUCAUUUGUGGUGAUAAGUCAUCAGUACUUUGGGGUCCACCCUUCCGGCUGACAAAAGCCACAAAUCCGAUGACAACACCGACGACAAGAAUCAUGGAAAUCCCCGAAAUAACAAAUUUUCUAUUCAUUUUUUUUUCUUUCUAGGCUUCUCUUCUUUUAUUUUUUAUUUUUUAUUUUU